This 253-nucleotide ribosomal RNA is filed under the name uncultured bacterium. RNAcentral's name for it is "partial 16S ribosomal RNA". It matches the Rfam family "Bacterial small subunit ribosomal RNA", at positions 524 to 776 of the family's 1533-position model. The record is from RNAcentral.
UACGGGGGGGGCAAGCGUUGUUCGGAAUUACUGGGCGUAAAGGGCUCGUAGGCGGCCAACUAAGUCAGACGUGAAAUCCCCAGGCUUAACCUGGGAACUGCGUCUGAUACUGGAUGGCUUGAAUUCGGGAGAGGGAUGCAGAAUUCCAGGUGUAGCGGUGAAAUGCGUAGAUAUCUGGAGGAAUACCGGUGGCGAAGGCGGCAUCCUGGACCGACAUUGACGCUGAUGAGCGAAAGCUAGGGGAGCGAACGGG